AUGUCUGCUGCAUCUGGCUAUGUUGCUGUCCCUCGCUGUCCGAUGAUUUUCGAUGGUACUAACUACAUCGAGUUCACUGGCUUUAUGCGCAUUCACAUGCGUGGCAUCCGUCUCUGGGGUGUUCUUUCUGGCGAGGUCUGCUGUCCGCCACGUCCGGUUCCUCUGGUGGCCCCUACUCCGCCGACUCCACUGGUUCUUGCUCCGGAUGCUAAUCAGGCCGCCAAGGAUGCGGCUAAGCUUGCUGAUGAGGCUGCUGAUCGUGCUUAUGAUGAGAAGAUUUUGGCUUAUGAGGAGGCUCUUCAGAUUUAUCAUGGUGCUCUGUCUGCUUACACCCAGUGGCUUGAUGAUGAUGCUCGUGCUGCAGCUGUUCUCACUGCUAGUGUUCUGCCUCAGUUUGCUUCUGAGUUUCUGGGUCUUCCUACUGUCUUUGAGAUGUGGACCCGUCUUUGUCAGCGCUAUCAGCCCUCUGGUGAUGCCUUAUACCUUUUUGUGGUCCGUCAGGAGCAUGCUCUUCAGCAGGGUGACUUUACUGUUGAUGACUUCUAUGCACAGAGUUCUGCUAUCUGGCGCCAGCUUGAUUCUCUCCGCAGUGCUGGUUGUCGUACCUGCCCCUGUUGCCAGGCUGUCCAGGCCAAUUUGGAGUUUCAUCGCGUCUAUGAGUUCCUGUCUCGGCUUCGUAAGGAGUUUGAGCCCCGGCAUGCUCAGUUGUUUGCUUGUGGCUGUAUUUCUCUCAUGGAGGCGCUUUCUGAGAUUCGUGCUGAGGAGACUCGCUUACGUGGUGCUGGUUUGCUGGAGGUUCCCUCUGUGCUCGCUACUCGGGCUCCUACGCCACCUACUGCACCGACCCCUUCUCGCUCGAGUGCACCGCCGCUCUUGCCCACUCCUUCUGGAGGCUCAGGUCGCCCCCAUCCACAUUGCGACUACUGCAACAAUGAUGGUCAUCUUGAGUCUCAGUGCUACACGAAGAAGAAACACCUGCGCAAGGCGCGAUCAUCAUCUUCAGGGACUUCGUCAUCCACCUCGACAGCUUCAGCCAUUGCUUUGACUGAGUAG
Molecule: ribosomal RNA, 1053 nt
Filed under: Triticum aestivum (bread wheat)
Lineage: Eukaryota; Viridiplantae; Streptophyta; Magnoliopsida; Poales; Poaceae
Description: partial small subunit ribosomal RNA
Source: RNAcentral